This is a long non-coding RNA of Musa acuminata AAA Group (dessert banana), 1735 nucleotides long. RefSeq lists it as uncharacterized. Lineage: Eukaryota; Viridiplantae; Streptophyta; Magnoliopsida; Zingiberales; Musaceae. The record is from RefSeq and is a predicted model, not a curated record. The transcript has 6 exons.
CGCUCGCCGCUCAUCCCCCGCAGCCGGAGGCUUGCGGAGGAGGAGAAAGAGACACUGAAACCUUGAGAGUUUUGACGUCCUCGCACGGCGCUUUCUUUCCAUGUGGCCUGCCGUCUCUUCGCUUCUUCAUCGAUGAAGAAGAUUUUUGGGAGUUGCUUUUGGGCUACCAUGAAGCUGUUAUACCAUGUGACAUGUUUGAUUUUAUGCACAAUGCCGUGGCACUAGCUUCAACUGGUUGAAUCCGUGGAGGGAUCUGCUACCAUCUGUUGUUGCUUUCAGCUGCUAGAAACGUCUUGCUAAAAGGGAAGUCUACCAAGGGUGGGCGUAAGGUCAUCGCUCGCAGGUUGGCAAAGGGCAGAGCAAGGAUUGCGGUCUAGGAUGUUGCUGUAACAAGUCAGAUGGAUGCGGGUGGUACAGGAUCAUGCCAUGGCGACUCCAUAUCUCCAUGAUCCGAGAUGUUGAGAUCAGAUGCUCAGUAUUACUGCAAAGUUUUAGUGUUAAAAAUUGGAAAUUUCUUGCUGCAACUAUUAUUUGUAAACUUGUCAUUGGGUGUUCUUCAUCUAUUUUCCAAUAUUUCUUUUGGUUCAAUUUACAUUGACAUGGAGAAUUUCAUAUGGAUGUUGUUAUGAAUAAUUUUGUUUUACACAAAGAUAGCUUUAUGAAGAGAAAUGGAUGAAGAGGCAUGCCUUGUAGUGUUUAUUAACCAUCUCUCCUCAUCUUGAAGUGUAUACAGGUUCAAAUAUUUGACCCAGGUAAUUCUCCUGGUGGGGAUUAUGACGUGCAUCCAAGGGAUUCUCCAUUGUGUUGAUGCGGGUGCUCCAAAUCAGAGUCCGACAGUACUAUCUCCUCUGAGGUUUGGCCAACUUCUACAGAUCUCACCAAUGUGCAUCAUGCUUCUUGGAUUGAGGGAGACAAAGAAGCAAAGGUGUCAUUGUACCAAGUAGGACUAUGUCCUGUAGCUCAAUAGCAGGCCCCCAAAUAAGGUUUGCUGACUCUCUCCUCUGAAAGCUGCACUUUGUUGGAUGUACUGCAUUAUUUGAGUUGUGCGCCUCACAAGCCAGGACAUGGAUCCUUGCCAUCGAACAGAUAAGAAAUCUGCGGCCUGCAAAAGCCAUCAAGAUGCUAAUGGCUACCUGCCUUUGAUGCAUAUUGGCAUUCUGCUGCAGAAUAAGGCAAGUAAGGUGGAUCCAACAAAGCUGGGAGUUCAAAACAUCAUACAUCAGUAUAAUACACAGUGAAAUUCCUAGUAUUGUCUUCACUGGCUGUUCAUGGAUCACAAGCAGCUCACCCUGUGGUCUGGAUGGAGACAAGCUCUUCUUCAACAAUUUCCAUCUCCCACCUGCACACGCAGAGAGGAUAAGAGAGGAUCAGUGACACAACACACGCCAAGGUAAAAUGAUUGAUAGCAGGGCUGGGCUGUGCUGUGCCAAAGAAACUUUUCCCUGCCCACUUGCCUGCUAAAUGGCAAAUCUGUGUCUGCGCCUAAUACAAUGCAGAAACAAAGAAAGAAACAAAAGCUUGAAAUGCCUCUUCUGCCUUCAGAUCUACCUCCAUCCUCCGCAUUCCUAUGGCUCUCUGAAACUUGCAGCAGUACAUGACAAUGAAUUAUAGGGUGGCAUCUUGGAAUCUAAUAUGUUGUACUUCACCCUUAUAUCUGCCGUUCAUUCUCACUGUUUUUGUUUCCAUAUGAAGGUUUAACCCAUUGUUAUGUUGUUAUCUGUUCCUUUUCUUAUCA